UCCAUUUUAAAGUAGUGUUUAGUAGUAGUAAUAGCAGUAGUAGUAGUUUUUGGAUUAUGUUUGUUUUUGAAUUUAUGGGCCUAUUUGAGUUUCAUUGUUUCUUGGUUGUCAGUUCAAAUGAGAAUAACAUUAAGUUGUAGGCUACUACAUUGUAAAUGUAUGCUGUGCAGUUUUAGGAGAGCUAAUGACAGGUUAAAUCACAGGUUGUCCAUUUUGUGGCAUAAAUAAUUGAUAAAACACGAAGACCACUUUAUAUUUACCUUACAAGUCUGCACAAUUUCAGCACAAGAGUAGCCUAAUAUUGAAUUAUUGCGAUGGAUCCAUAAAAUUACCUCUGUGACAGAUCAUUAAUCUUAAACCACAUGGAUUUCACAUGCCAUAAUAUCUUAUGUUUUUAUUUAUUUCCUAAAAGAAUGGUUAGCAUAAUCUUUUUUCUUGCUCAGAAUAGGCCUGCUCAACUGAUUCAUAAUGGAUUGCUCUGAAAAUCAGUAUUAUGACACUGGAGAAUGCUACCCUUGUGUGCAGUGUCCACCAGGACAGGAACUCACAGAGGAUUGUGGGUACGGCUAUGGAGCACUGGCACGCUGCAGACCCUGUGACACCCGCUGGUUCAAAGAAGCAUGGGGGUCUCAUACGUGCCAGAUGUGCCAGGCGUGCCGCCGCGUGAACAGGAGAGAGCUGUCGCCCUGCAUGCCCACCAGGAAUGCCGUGUGUGGACCGUGCUUGCCAGGGUUUUACAGUAAGCGAAGGCUGGAUGGCCAGGAGAGUUUGGAGUGCAUGCCAUGUGGACCUCCCCCGUUCAGAGACCCACUCUGUCGCAGAAGUAGCGGAGUUGAGAUGGAAAAAUUCUGGAGACCCCAAACCACAUCUCAGUCCACCACUGCUGCAGUCACCACCUACGUUUGUUUGGCGGUUGCUGCCAUGGUGAUCCUGCUGUCUGUCACCUUGUUUAUGUAUCACAAAUAUACUUCUCUCAGGACAUUUUUUAAAGGUUGCCUGAUACCACACUGUAGCAGCAACGACGCUGAAGCCCCCUCUGUUUUCAUGGAAACACAGUGCCCACUGACCUCGGCGGAAGAGGAACAAGUCUCAGGAGUGACGCCAACACAAACAACCAGUGAUAAGGGAUCACCCAGCAGUGAGGAGGGCUGCAGCUUCUCUGCCAUGCCAACUGCACUCUGUGACUGGAGGGGGCACUUGUCGUGCCCUCCGCACCCGUCCAUCUGCAGCGACUGCUUGUCCGGCCUCACAUCCCAGCCGACCUCGGGACUCCCCACACCGCUGCCUGUAAGUGGCCACCUCACAGCAGUACCGAUGUCUGCCACAGGAGGGGGCCACUGCUCCUCGGAGGAGGGCUCCGGGUGGCUGCAACAGUGGCACGUCCCCGUGGAGUGCACUGAACUGGACAUCCAUGAGUCGUUUCCUCCUGGAGAAGCGGAGCUCCACACAUUCCCAGGGUCGGGAUCAGAGCCAGGGCUGCCCAGGGAAGUUGAGCAUUCCCUGGACCUCUACUCUGCUGUCCCCUUAGACAGCAACCUGGAGCUGCAUGGGUGUUUGGAGACGGGGAGGACCAAUUACACAGAGGAACCAACCAGUUCUCUUUAGGCAUGCCUCUAAGUGACUUACAGGGUUGCUGGUGCGCAGUGGCUGGAUCCAGUGUUUCCUGGAGUGCAGAGCUACCAACAGUUUGCUCAGUGUUUGGAGGUACCUGCAGAGAUGGCUUGAGGGCUCAGAGGGUUCGAGCACGUCUUCCACUACCUCUUGUCCUGCACGCUGUUCACCGCACGGAACAACUGCCUGGCUCAAGGACUACCACAAAUGAGCUGAACGGUCUCCUCACACCCCUGGAACUGAGGAAGUUGCAGCUCUACAUUGCAGUACUGCAGGGCAUCUGCUAGACUGUGACUGAAUAUUUGAUUUAUGA
This is an RNA transcript of Alosa alosa (allis shad), 1924 nucleotides long. It is a transcript of the gene named ectodysplasin A2 receptor, with no coding region annotated. The transcript is spliced from 8 exons. The record is from RefSeq and is a predicted model, not a curated record. NCBI's taxonomy places the organism in Eukaryota, Metazoa, Chordata, Actinopteri, Clupeiformes, Clupeidae.